ACCCUUGUGACGCAAUUGGCUAGCGCGUUCGGCUGUUAACCGAAAGGUUGGAGGUUCGAGCCCUCCCGAGAGCG
This 74-nucleotide transfer RNA is filed under the name Rhipicephalus microplus (southern cattle tick). Its description in RNAcentral is "tRNA-Asn". It matches the Rfam family "tRNA". Rfam says of the family: Transfer RNA (tRNA) molecules are approximately 80 nucleotides in length. Their secondary structure includes four short double-helical elements and three loops (D, anti-codon, and T loops). Lineage: Eukaryota; Metazoa; Arthropoda; Arachnida; Ixodida; Ixodidae. The record is from Rfam by way of RNAcentral.